UCGAGCGAACAGACGAGGAGCUUGCUCCUCUGACGUUAGCGGCGGACGGGUGAGUAACACGUGGAUAACCUACCUAUAAGACUGGGAUAACUUCGGGAAACCGGAGCUAAUACCGGAUAAUAUAUUGAACCGCAUGGUUCAAUAGUGAAAGACGGUUUUGCUGUCACUUAUAGAUGGAUCCGCGCCGCAUUAGCUAGUUGGUAAGGUAACGGCUUACCAAGGCAACGAUGCGUAGCCGACCUGAGAGGGUGAUCGGCCACACUGGAACUGAGACACGGUCCAGACUCCUACGGGAGGCAGCAGUAGGGAAUCUUCCGCAAUGGGCGAAAGCCUGACGGAGCAACGCCGCGUGAGUGAUGAAGGUCUUCGGAUCGUAAAACUCUGUUAUUAGGGAAGAACAAAUGUGUAAGUAACUAUGCACGUCUUGACGGUACCUAAUCAGAAAGCCACGGCUAACUACGUGCCAGCAGCCGCGGUAAUACGUAGGUGGCAAGCGUUAUCCGGAAUUAUUGGGCGUAAAGCGCGCGUAGGCGGUUUUUUAAGUCUGAUGUGAAAGCCCACGGCUCAACCGUGGAGGGUCAUUGGAAACUGAAAAACUUGAGUGCAGAAGAGGAAAGUGGAAUUCCAUGUGUAGCGGUGAAAUGCGCAGAGAUAUGGAGGAACACCAGUGGCGAAGGCGACUUUCUGGUCUGUAACUGACGCUGAUGUGCGAAAGCG
RNAcentral lists this ribosomal RNA (717 nucleotides) under uncultured Staphylococcus sp. RNAcentral's name for it is "bacterial SSU rRNA". It matches the Rfam family "Bacterial small subunit ribosomal RNA", at positions 62 to 761 of the family's 1533-position model. Lineage: Bacteria; Bacillati; Bacillota; Bacilli; Caryophanales; Staphylococcaceae. The record is from RNAcentral.